RNAcentral lists this ribosomal RNA (500 nucleotides) under uncultured bacterium. RNAcentral describes it as "partial 16S ribosomal RNA". It matches the Rfam family "Bacterial small subunit ribosomal RNA", at positions 30 to 523 of the family's 1533-position model. The record is from RNAcentral.
AUUGAACGCUGGCGGAAUGCUUUACACAUGCAAGUCGAACGGCGGCACGGACUUCGGUCUGGUGGCGAGUGGCGAACGGGUGAGUAAUGUAUCGGAACGUGCCCAGUCGUGGGGGAUAACGUAGUGAAAAUUACGCUAAUACUGCAUACGAUCUAUGGAUGAAAGCGGGGGAUCGCAAGACCUCGCGCGAUGGGAGCGGCCGAUAUCAGAUUAGGUAGUUGGUGGGGUAAAGGGCCACCAAGCCAACGAUCUGUAGUUGGUCUGAGAGGACGACCAGCCACACUGGAACUGAGACACGGUCCAGACUCCUACGGGAGGCAGCAGUGGGGAAUUUUGGACAAUGGGCGAAAGCCUGAUCCAGCCAUUCCGCGUGCAGGAUGAAGGCCCUCGGGUUGUAAACUGCUUUUGUACAGAACGAAAAGGUUUCUACUAAUACUAGGAGCUCAUGACGGUACUGUAAGAAUAAGCACCGGCUAACUACGUGCCAGCCGCCGCAGUAA